Molecule: ribosomal RNA, 981 nt
Filed under: Microsporidia sp. PP5.3
Lineage: Eukaryota; Fungi; Microsporidia
Description: SSU rRNA
Rfam family: Microsporidia small subunit ribosomal RNA
Source: RNAcentral
CAACCUCUGUAAACGGAGGACAAAACGCAUUAUGGGCAUGUAAUAAAGAUGCCUAGACAACCGAAAGGUGUGAGAGAAUAAGGGGCCAUCCCAUCAGUUAGUAAGUAAGGUAAAGGCCUACUUAGACGAAGACGGGUACGGGGAAUUAUUGUUCGAUUCCGGAGAGGGAGCCUGAGAGAUGGCUACCAGGUCCAAGGAUAGCAGCAGGCGCGAAAAUUACCGAAGCCUAAAGUAGGGCGGUAGUAAUGAAACGUGAAAACGAAGUACUGAUAAAAGAGGUACUAGUGACUGGAGGUAAAGACUGGUGCCAGCAUCCGCGGUAAUACCAGCUCCAGGAGUGUCUAUGAUGAUUGUUGCAAUUAAAGAGUUCGUAGUCGAGUAGCAUGACAGGUCUUUAAAGUGGUGGAUCAAACGACGACCAGGAUCUGAAAAGCUAAGAAUGAGGAGCGAUCAGGGGCUAGUUUAUUAAGCGACGAAAGGUGAAAUUUGAUGACUCGCUUAGGAGAAACAGAGGCGAAGGCGCUAGCCAGGAGCGAAUCCGAUGAUAAAGGACGUAGGCUAGAGGAUCGAAGACGAUUAGAGACCGUUGUAGUUCUAGCAGUAAACGAUGCCGACGCUGUGCUAUUAGAAGUAGUGCGGAAGAGAAAUCGAGUAGGGCCUUGGGGAGAGUACAUACGCAAGUAAGAAACUUAAACGAAAUUGACGGAAGAACACCACAAGGAGUGGAGUGUGCGGCUUAAUUUGACUCAACGCGGGACAGCUUACCAAGCCCGACGACUGGACGAGUGUAGUACACGAUAGGUCGGAGAGUGGUGCAUGGCCGUUAACGACAAGUGGGGUGACCUUAUGGUUAAGUCCGGGAAGUAGUGAGACCCCUGCUAGCGGAAGACGAGACGAGCUAGGACAGGUACGCAAAGUACAGGAAGGAAGGGUCAAGAACAGGUCAGUGAUGCCCUCAGAUGGCUUGGGCUGCACGCGCAC